Molecule: ribosomal RNA, 433 nt
Filed under: uncultured bacterium
Lineage: Bacteria
Description: partial 16S ribosomal RNA
Rfam family: Bacterial small subunit ribosomal RNA
Source: RNAcentral
AACGAACGCUGGCGGCAUGCCUAACACAUGCAAGUCGAACGAGACCUUCGGGUCUAGUGGCGCACGGGUGCGUAACACGUGGGAAUCUGCCCAUUGCUUCGGAAUAACAGUUAGAAAUGACUGCUAAUACCGGAUGAUGUCGAAAGACCAAAGAUUUAUCGGCAAAGGAUGAGCCCGCGUAGGAUUAGGUAGUUGGUGGGGUAAAGGCCUACCAAGCCGACGAUCCUUAGCUGGUCUGAGAGGAUGAUCAGCCACACUGGGACUGAGACACGGCCCAGACUCCUACGGGAGGCAGCAGUGGGGAAUAUUGGACAAUGGGCGAAAGCCUGAUCCAGCAAUGCCGCGUGAGUGAUGAAGGCCUUAGGGUUGUAAAGCUCUUUUACCAGGGAUGAUAAUGACAGUACCUGGAGAAUAAGCUCCGGCUAACUCCGUG